GACAGAGGUGCCGAGCGUUAGGCGGAAUCACUGGGCUUAAAGCGUGUGUAGGCGGACUUCUAAGUACCUUGUGAAGUCCCACGGCUUAACCGUGGAACUGCUUGGUAUACUGGUUGUCUUGGGCCAUCUAGGGGCUAGCGGAACAAACGGUGGAGCGGUGAAAUGCGUAGAUAUCGUUUGGAACGCCAAUGGUGAAAACAGCUAGCUGGGGAUGUGCCGACGCUGAGACACGAAAGCCAGGGGAGCGAACGGG
RNAcentral lists this ribosomal RNA (253 nucleotides) under uncultured bacterium. RNAcentral describes it as "partial 16S ribosomal RNA". It matches the Rfam family "Bacterial small subunit ribosomal RNA", at positions 524 to 776 of the family's 1533-position model. The record is from RNAcentral.